Molecule: ribosomal RNA, 807 nt
Filed under: uncultured bacterium
Lineage: Bacteria
Description: bacterial SSU rRNA
Rfam family: Bacterial small subunit ribosomal RNA
Source: RNAcentral
CACGGGGUGAGUAAUAUAUAGUUAAUGUACCUCGAAGACCGGGAUAGCCAUUGGAAACGAUGAUUUAUACUGGAUAUACCUUUUAUACAUAAGUGUAAAUGGGAAAUGUUUUUUCGCUUCGAGAUCAGUCUAUAUCCCAUCAGUUAGUUGGUAGUGUAAUGGACUACCAAGGCAGUGACGGGUAGCGGGUUUGAGAGGAUGAUCCGCCACACUGGUACUGAGACACGGACCAGACUCCUACGGGAGGCAGCAGUGAGGAAUAAUGCACAAUGGAGGAAACUCUGAUGCAGCAACGCCGCGUGGAGGAUGACGCAUUUCGGUGUGUAAACUCCUUUUAUGAGCCAAGAUAAUGACGGUAGCUCAUGAAUAAGCACCGGCUAACUCCGUGCCAGCAGCCGCGGUAAUACGGAGGGUGCAAGCGUUACUCGGAAUCACUGGGCGUAAAGGACGCGUAGGCGGGUUGGAAAGUCAGGUGUGAAUCCUACAGCUUAACUGUAGAACUGCACUUGAAACUUCUAACCUAGAGUAUGGGAGGGGGAGAUGGAAUUAGUGGUGUAGGGGUAAAAUCCGUAGAUAUCACUAGGAAUACCCAAAGCGAAGGCGAUCUCCUGGAACAUAACUGACGCUAAGGCGUGAAAGCGUGGGGAGCAAACGGGAUUAGAUACCCCGGUAGUCCACGCCCUAAACGAUGAACACUAGUCGUCGUGAUGCUUGUCAUUGCGGUGAUGCACUUAACAGAUUAAGUGUUCCGCCUGGGGAGUACGGUCGCAAGAUUAAACUCAAAGGAAUAGACGGGGACCCGCACAA